CAUACCACCCUGAACACGCCCGAUCCCGUCUGAUCUCGGAAGCUAAGCAGGGUCGGGCCUGGUUAGUACUUGGAUGGGAGACCGCCUGGGAAUACCNNNNN
This 101-nucleotide ribosomal RNA is filed under the name Salvator merianae (Argentine black and white tegu). The record is from RNAcentral. Lineage: Eukaryota; Metazoa; Chordata; Lepidosauria; Squamata; Teiidae.